GACCGAUUAAUAAUUCGAUUUUUACCGAUCGACAACAUACGACUUAGACCAUCGGUAUAAUAAAACUACUAGCCGACGGUCACUCAUGGAUUCUACCGAUAUAUGGUCGGUUCUACCAACAUAUGAUCGAUCAAUCUACUCAACAUACCAUAACUGUUAUGAAUGAUUACCGACCGCAUAUCACGGCACGAUCAGUGAGAAUUAACGAUCCACUA
Molecule: long non-coding RNA, 215 nt
Filed under: Elaeis guineensis (African oil palm)
Lineage: Eukaryota; Viridiplantae; Streptophyta; Magnoliopsida; Arecales; Arecaceae
Description: long non-coding RNA (EGUI_LNC019341)
Source: RNAcentral